UAUGUCCGAGUGGUUAAGGA
Molecule: non-coding RNA, 20 nt
Filed under: Arabidopsis thaliana (thale cress)
Lineage: Eukaryota; Viridiplantae; Streptophyta; Magnoliopsida; Brassicales; Brassicaceae
Source: RNAcentral